GUGAACGCUGGCGGUAGGCCUAACACCUGCAAGUCGAACGGCAGCACAGUAAGAGCUUGCUCUUACGGGUGGCGAGUGGCGGACGGGUGAGGAAUACAUCGGAAUCUACUUUUUCGUGGGGGAUAACGUAGGGAAACUUACGCUAAUACCGCAUACGACCUACGGGUGAAAGCAGGGGAUCUUCGGACCUUGCGCGAUUGAAUGAGCCGAUGUCGGAUUAGCUAGUUGGCGGGGUAAAGGCCCACCAAGGCGACGAUCCGUAGCUGGUCUGAGAGGAUGAUCAGCCACACUGGAACUGAGACACGGUCCAGACUCCUACGGGAGGCAGCAGUGGGGAAUAUUGGACAAUGGGCGCAAGCCUGAUCCAGCCAUACCGCGUGGGUGAAGAAGGCCUUCGGGUUGUAAAGCCCUUUUGUUGGGAAAGAAAAGCAGCAGGUUAAUACCCCGCUGUUCUGACGGUACCCAAGGAAUAAGCACCGGCUAACUUCGUG
This 491-nucleotide ribosomal RNA is filed under the name uncultured bacterium. RNAcentral's name for it is "partial 16S ribosomal RNA". It matches the Rfam family "Bacterial small subunit ribosomal RNA", at positions 29 to 507 of the family's 1533-position model. The record is from RNAcentral.